This 429-nucleotide ribosomal RNA is filed under the name Bacillota bacterium. Its description in RNAcentral is "Firmicutes bacterium partial 16S ribosomal RNA". It matches the Rfam family "Bacterial small subunit ribosomal RNA", at positions 355 to 776 of the family's 1533-position model. The record is from RNAcentral. Lineage: Bacteria; Bacillati; Bacillota.
UAGGGAAUCUUCGGCAAUGGACGGAAGUCUGACCGAGCAACGCCGCGCGAGUGAAGAAGGUUUUCGGAUCGUAAAGCUCUGUUGUUAGAGAAGAACGUUGGUAGGAGUUGAAAAUCUACCAAGUGACGGUAACUAACCAGAAAGGGACGGCUAACUACGUGCCAGCAGCCGCGGUAAUACGUAGGUCCCGAGCGUUGUCCGGAUUUAUUGGGCGUAAAGCGAGCGCAGGCGGUUCUUUAAGUCUGAAGUUAAAGGCAGUGGCUUAACCACUGUACGCUUUGGAAACUGGAGGACUUGAGUGCAGAAGGGGAGAGUGGAAUUCCAUGUGUAGCGGUGAAAUGCGUAGAUAUAUGGAGGAACACCGGUGGCGAAAGCGGCUCUCUGGUCUGUAACUGACGCUGAGGCUCGAAAGCGUGGGGAGCAAACAGG